This 51-nucleotide transfer RNA is filed under the name Diploderma varcoae. RNAcentral describes it as "partial tRNA-Glx". The record is from RNAcentral. Lineage: Eukaryota; Metazoa; Chordata; Lepidosauria; Squamata; Agamidae.
UAAGAAAUGAGAGGUUCAGUGGGCUCUGUGUCUAUUUUAUCAAAAUAGUCC